GUCCACGCCCUAAACGAUGGAUACUAGAUAUCAGGGCGUAGGCUUUGGUGUCCAAGCAAAAGCGAUAAGUAUCCCACCUGGGGAGUACGCUCGCAAGGGUGAAACUCAAAGGAAUUGACGGGGCCCGCACAAGCGGUGGAGUAUGUGGUUUAAUUCGAUGGUACGCGAGGAACCUUACCUAGACUAGAAUGCGCGUGACCGGCUCAGAAAUGGGCUUUUCUCUUCGGAGCACAAAGCAAGGUGCUGCAUGGCUGUCGU
Molecule: ribosomal RNA, 258 nt
Filed under: uncultured bacterium
Lineage: Bacteria
Description: partial 16S ribosomal RNA
Rfam family: Bacterial small subunit ribosomal RNA
Source: RNAcentral